This 574-nucleotide ribosomal RNA is filed under the name Clonostachys setosa. RNAcentral's name for it is "eukaryotic LSU rRNA". It matches the Rfam family "Eukaryotic large subunit ribosomal RNA", at positions 1 to 588 of the family's 3401-position model. Lineage: Eukaryota; Fungi; Ascomycota; Sordariomycetes; Hypocreales; Bionectriaceae. The record is from RNAcentral.
UUGACCUCAGAUCAGGUAGGAAUACCCGCUGAACUUAAGCAUAUCAAUAAGCGGAGGAAAAGAAACCAACAGGGAUUGCCCUAGUAACGGCGAGUGAAGCGGCAACAGCUCAAAUUUGAAAUCUGGCGCAAGCCCGAGUUGUAAUUUGUAGAGGAUGUUUCUGGCGAAGUGCCUUCCGAGUUCCCUGGAACGGGACGCCAUAGAGGGUGAGAGCCCCGUACGGUUGGAUGCCUAGCCUCUGUGAAACUCCUUCGACGAGUCGAGUAGUUUGGGAAUGCUGCUCUAAAUGGGAGGUAUACGUCUUCUAAAGCUAAAUACCGGCCAGAGACCGAUAGCGCACAAGUAGAGUGAUCGAAAGAUGAAAAGCACUUUGAAAAGAGGGUUAAAUAGUACGUGAAAUUGUUGAAAGGGAAGCGUUUAUGACCAGACUUGGGCAGGUUGAUCAUCCGUGGUUCUCCGCGGUGCACUCUGCCUGCCCAGGCCAGCAUCAGUUCGCUUCGGGGGAUAAAGGCUCUGGGAAUGUGGCUCCUCCGGGAGUGUUAUAGCCCACUGCGUAAUACCCUGAAGCGGACUG